ACGGACCUACAAUAAAAAUAACCUUUGGAAUACAUAAAUACAUGUGAAACUAAACAAUUUUUUUAAAAGAUCUUUAUUAUAGCAAAGAAGAGAAGAAAGUUCGCCGGAGAUGACGACUUCUGGCCAAGCAAAACACAGUACAAAUUGUAUUAAAACUAAAAAAUAGAGACGAAUAAAAAUACGAUCAAAUAUGAGAAAAUACUAUCACAUUGUAUCUACAAAAAUCCGGUCAGACAAAUAAAAAUCUGGCAGUAAUAUGUAUUUUUGCAUUUAAUUUGGCCACAAAAAAUAAAAUAUACUCAAAUAUGAGAAAUACACUGAGAUAUGAAAAAAUACACUCGGAUCUCAAAAAUUUGAUCGGUUGGCCAUGGAUUCCAGCUAAAGAUGAAGGCGGCGGUGGAGGUAAUGAAGGUAAUGAUGAGGCCGAUAUGGAUUAAGGAAUUUGAGGUACUAAGUUUAGGAAUUGUCAUAGUGGGUGAAAGAAGGGAGAGUACAAAGAAGAGAAAAAAAAUUAAAUGAGGUUAGACGACAGUGUUCCUGCGGGUUAGGUCGACGGUGGUUCUUCAGUGAGAUUGUAACACUAGAGAAAUAGAGAGCUUUAGGGAUAUGGGGAUGCAAAUAGGUUAUGGUAGGAAAAUGAAAGCAGGAAGGGAGGAAAAAGUU
RNAcentral lists this long non-coding RNA (663 nucleotides) under Nicotiana benthamiana. RNAcentral's name for it is "long non-coding RNA (NBEN_LNC028257)". Lineage: Eukaryota; Viridiplantae; Streptophyta; Magnoliopsida; Solanales; Solanaceae. The record is from RNAcentral.